RNAcentral lists this long non-coding RNA (512 nucleotides) under Papio anubis (olive baboon). Its description in RNAcentral is "lncRNA (ENSPANG00000045719.1)". Lineage: Eukaryota; Metazoa; Chordata; Mammalia; Primates; Cercopithecidae. The record is from RNAcentral.
AAUUCCAGGCAGCACCCUGGGCUCUGAAUUCUCAGACUCAAAGUUGUUGCUCAAAUUCCCCCCACCCCCACAUUCCAACCCAACCCUAAUCUCCUCCCACUUUGGUUUCUCUGUCCACCAGGUUUCCAGAUCUCCCAGCAUACUACUGUGGCCCUGAGAGAGCAGCUGUGAACUCAAGAAAAACUCCUUCACCUUUCUCUGAGGCUGAUGGCAACAUCGAAGGCAUUGCACCAUUGCCUUCCAGCAUCCAGUGUUGUUGCUGAGAAGACUGCUGCCAAUUGGAUCUGAAAUUUUCUUUGGAAGUGUACCAGGAGGGAGGGUACAAGAAGACCAGGCAAUUAUGGAGUGGCUGAGGAAAGAAGGGACCAGAGGAGGAGAGAGAAGACUUGGGUGCAAUGCUGAGCUGAAUGGAGAAGAACCUGGUGAGUUCUUCCUUGAGGCCCAGGUUGUGAUACUGUAAUUCUCUAAUUACCUCAGAGCUAAAACUAUUUUAUUUGUCUAGAAAUGACAUG